UCGUGGGACACGGAGGAUCAUUACCGAGUUACACUCCCAACCCCUGUGAACAUACCUUAAUGUUGCCUCGGCGGAUCAGCCCGCGCCCCGUAAAACGGGACGGCCCGCCAGAGGACCCAAACUCUAAUGUUUCUUAUUGUAACUUCUGAGUAAAACAAACAAAUAAAUCAAAACUUUCAACAACGGAUCUCUUGGUUCUGGCAUCGAUGAAGAACGCAGCAAAAUGCGAUAAGUAAUGUGAAUUGCAGAAUUCAGUGAAUCAUCGAAUCUUUGAACGCACAUUGCGCCCGCUGGUAUUCCGGCGGGCAUGCCUGUUCGAGCGUCAUUUCAACCCUCAAGCCCCCGGGUUUGGUGUUGGGGAUCGGCUCUGCCUUCUGGCGGUGCCGCCCCCGAAAUACAUUGGCGGUCUCGCUGCAGCCUCCAUUGCGUAGUAGCUAACACCUCGCAACUGGAACGCGGCGCGGCCAUGCCGUAAAACCCCAACUUCUGAAUGUUGACCUCGGAUCAGGUAGGAAUACCCGCUGAACUUAAGCAUAUCAUAGNCCGGGAGG
Molecule: ribosomal RNA, 551 nt
Filed under: Fusarium avenaceum
Lineage: Eukaryota; Fungi; Ascomycota; Sordariomycetes; Hypocreales; Nectriaceae
Description: eukaryotic LSU rRNA
Rfam family: 5.8S ribosomal RNA (bases 172-325)
Source: RNAcentral